Molecule: transfer RNA, 84 nt
Filed under: Zantedeschia aethiopica (calla lily)
Lineage: Eukaryota; Viridiplantae; Streptophyta; Magnoliopsida; Alismatales; Araceae
Also listed under: 4 other names
Description: tRNA-Tyr
Rfam family: tRNA
About the family: Transfer RNA (tRNA) molecules are approximately 80 nucleotides in length.
Source: RNAcentral
GGGUCGAUGCCCGAGCGGUUAAUGGGGACGGACUGUAAAUUCGUUGACAAUAUGUCUACGCUGGUUCAAAUCCAGUUCGGCCCA